CCUACGGGAGGCAGCAGUGGGGAAUAUUGCACAAUGGGCGAAAGCCUGAUGCAGCAACGCCGCGUGAGGGAUGACGGCCUUCGGGUUGUAAACCUCUUUUAGCAGGGAAGAAGCGAAAGUGACGGUACCUGCAGAAAAAGCGCCGGCUAACUACGUGCCAGCAGCCGCGGUAAUACGUAGGGCGCAAGCGUUAUCCGGAAUUAUUGGGCGUAAAGAGCUCGUAGGCGGUUUGUCGCGUCUGCUGUGAAAUCCCGAGGCUCAACCUCGGGCCUGCAGUGGGUACGGGCAGACUAGAGUGCGGUAGGGGAGAUUGGAAUUCCUGGUGUAGCGGUGGAAUGCGCAGAUAUCAGGAGGAACACCGAUGGCGAAGGCAGAUCUCUGGGCCGUAACUGACGCUGAGGAGCGAAAGGGUGGGGAGCAAACAGGCUUAGAUACCCUGGUAGUCCACCCCGUAAACGUUGGGAACUAGUUGUGGGGUCCAUUCCACGGAUUCCGUGACGCAGCUACGCAUAACGUUACCCGUCCGUCGGGUAGGUACGGCCGCGACGGACGUAAACCUACAAACGGAAGUUAGACGGCGUGAGACGUGCCGACGGACGACGACGAGGGAGGUAGG
Molecule: ribosomal RNA, 616 nt
Filed under: uncultured bacterium
Lineage: Bacteria
Description: bacterial SSU rRNA
Rfam family: Bacterial small subunit ribosomal RNA (bases 1-524)
Source: RNAcentral